GUGAGGAGCCCCUCCGCCCGGCAGCUGCCCUGUCUGGCCAUAGACUCUCCAACUCCUGCAACUGUCUGGAAUUUCUUCUCUCUCCAAUCCAUCUCUAGUAUUGAUGACAUAGAUGGAGAAGCAGAACAGAAGUUGCCCAAGAUCUUACAGUAAGUUUUAGAGCUUCUUAAAGUCUAAAUACAAUAGAAUCUAUUUUAAAAAAAUAAUUAUGCUUAAGUAUACUAUAUUUUAAUGGUUAUUUUCCUCAACUAUACAUUUUUCAGAACUAGUCUGUGAGUUAAUACAAUUUUCUGAAAAUUUUUAGUACAUAAACACUACCACAUAGCACCAUCAAAUCAAAAUGCCUUUUUUUUUUUUGAGACAGAAUCUAGUUAUGUCUCCCAAGCUGGAGUGCAGUGGCACGA
Molecule: long non-coding RNA, 404 nt
Filed under: Homo sapiens (human)
Lineage: Eukaryota; Metazoa; Chordata; Mammalia; Primates; Hominidae
Description: HSALNT0326374
Source: RNAcentral